RNAcentral lists this ribosomal RNA (253 nucleotides) under uncultured bacterium. RNAcentral's name for it is "partial 16S ribosomal RNA". It matches the Rfam family "Bacterial small subunit ribosomal RNA", at positions 524 to 776 of the family's 1533-position model. The record is from RNAcentral.
UACGGAGGGUGCAAACGUUGCUCGGAAUCAUUGGGCGUAAAGCGCACGUAGGCGGACCAGCAAGUUAGGGGUGAAAUCCCGGGGCUCAACCCCGGAACUGCCUUUAAAACUGUUGGUCUGGAGGUCGAGAGAGGUGAGUGGAAUUCCGAGUGUAGAGGUGAAAUUCGUAGAUAUUCGGAGGAACACCAGUGGCGAAGGCGGCUCACUGGCUCGAUACUGACGCUGAGGUGCGAAAGCGUGGGGAGCAAACAGG